GACGAACGCUGGCGGCGUGCUUAACACAUGCAAGUCGAACGGAAAGGCCCUGCUUGCAGGGUACUCGAGUGGCGAACGGGUGAGUAACACGUGGGUGAUCUGCCCUGCACUUCGGGAUAAGCCUGGGAAACUGGGUCUAAUACCGGAUAGGAGCCAUUUUUAGUGUGAUGGUUGGAAAGUUUUUUCGGUGUAGGAUGAGCUCGCGGCCUAUCAGCUUGUUGGUGGGGUAAUGGCCUACCAAGGCGGCGACGGGUAGCCGGCCUGAGAGGGUGGACGGCCACAUUGGGACUGAGGUACGGCCCAGACUCCUACGGGAGGCAGCAGUGGGGAAGAUUGCACAAGGGGCGCAAGCCUGAUGCAGCGACGCCGCGUGGGGGAUGACGGCCUUCGGGUUGUAAACUCCUUUCGCUAGGGACGAAGCUUUUUGUGACGGUACCUAGAUAAGAAGCACCGGCUAACUACGUG
RNAcentral lists this ribosomal RNA (465 nucleotides) under uncultured bacterium. RNAcentral's name for it is "partial 16S ribosomal RNA". It matches the Rfam family "Bacterial small subunit ribosomal RNA", at positions 28 to 507 of the family's 1533-position model. The record is from RNAcentral.